AGUGGAAUAGCUGGGUCAAAUGGUGGUUCCAUUCCAAGGAAUCUCCAUACUACUUCCCAGACUAGUUGCACCAAUUUACAAUCCCACCAGCAAU
RNAcentral lists this microRNA precursor (94 nucleotides) under Marmota monax (woodchuck). Lineage: Eukaryota; Metazoa; Chordata; Mammalia; Rodentia; Sciuridae. The record is from RNAcentral.